UUUUUUGUUUUAGGAUCCUCUAGAUGGUUUAAAGAAAAACUUUGACUAUCAUGAGUGGAAACAGUGUGAAAUUCAGCUUAUGGCAGUACCUAGUGAUUCAGAAGACAGUGAAGGAACAGAAGGAAUGAGUGAUGAAGGCAAAGUGAAAUAAAUUCUCUAAACUCUUCACUAAUCAUCAGUUUUUGGUUUCCCUAAUUUAAUUUAAUUUAAUUAAACAGGGUUGAAUAAAUGUAAUUGGCCUGAAAGUAGUGAGCUGGAUAUUACACAGCACAGAGAGCUGAUGUGCAAACUUCUGACAUAUCUCUCUGGCAACAUAUUUGUCUUAAUUUUAAUUUUAUUUUAAGUAAAAGUAAUUGUAUCCAUUUUUUUACCAGUCUUACCAAAUGGUAUUGAAAUCUUAACCAAAAAAAAAAAAAAAAAAGGGCAUAAAAAAGGGAGGAUUUUCAACUGUGAUAGUUGAAAUAUUUUGAAGAAGAGUAUGAUAUAGGGCAAUAGAAUUGGUCUUUCCAGAUUGGCUAGACCUCCUAGACUAUAUCUCCUAGACUAAGACUGCAUAUUGGAUAUUCACAUACUUUUUCUUUCCUCUUGAAGUCAGUAGAAAUCAUUGCCUGUGACAGAAGAGUAGAU
This is a long non-coding RNA of Pezoporus occidentalis (night parrot), 627 nucleotides long. RefSeq lists it as uncharacterized. The record is from RefSeq and is a predicted model, not a curated record. Lineage: Eukaryota; Metazoa; Chordata; Aves; Psittaciformes; Psittacidae. The transcript has 3 exons.